This 468-nucleotide ribosomal RNA is filed under the name uncultured Veillonella sp. RNAcentral's name for it is "bacterial SSU rRNA". It matches the Rfam family "Bacterial small subunit ribosomal RNA", at positions 28 to 473 of the family's 1533-position model. Lineage: Bacteria; Bacillati; Bacillota; Negativicutes; Veillonellales; Veillonellaceae. The record is from RNAcentral.
GACGAACGCUGGCGGCGUGCUUAACACAUGCAAGUCGAACGAAGAGCGAUGGAAGCUUGCUUCUAUCAAUCUUAGUGGCGAACGGGUGAGUAACGCGUAAUCAACCUGCCCUUCAGGGGGGGACAACAGUUGGAAACGACUGCUAAUACCGCAUACGAUCCAAUCUCGGCAUCGAGACUGGAUGAAAGGUGGCCUCUAUUUAUAAGCUAUCACUGAAGGAGGGGAUUGCGUCUGAUUAGCUAGUUGGAGGGGUAACGGCCCACCAAGGCGAUGAUCAGUAGCCGGUCUGAGAGGAUGAACGGCCACAUUGGGACUGAGACACGGCCCAGACUCCUACGGGAGGCAGCAGUGGGGAAUCUUCCGCAAUGGACGAAAGUCUGACGGAGCAACGCCGCGUGAGUGAUGACGGCCUUCGGGUUGUAAAGCUCUGUUAAUCGGGACGAAUGGUUCUUGUGCGAAUAGUGCGAG